This 400-nucleotide ribosomal RNA is filed under the name uncultured bacterium. Its description in RNAcentral is "bacterial SSU rRNA". It matches the Rfam family "Bacterial small subunit ribosomal RNA", at positions 355 to 752 of the family's 1533-position model. The record is from RNAcentral.
UGAGGAAUAUUGGUCAAUGGGCGAGAGCCUGAACCAGCCAAAUCGCGUGAAGGAUGAAGGUAUUAUGUACUGUAAACUUCUUUUGUCGGGGAAUAAAGUGCGGCACGUGUGCCGUUUUGCAUGUACCCGAAGAAUAAGGAUCGGCUAACUCCGUGCCAGCAGCCGCGGUAAUACGGAGGAUCCAAGCGUUAUCCGGAUUUAUUGGGUUUAAAGGGUGCGUAGGCGGAUGUUUAAGUCAGUGGUGAAAGUUUGCGGCUCAACCGUAAAAUUGCCAUUGAAACUGAAUGUCUUGAGUGUAAAUGAGGUAGGCGGAAUGUGUUGUGUAGCGGUGAGAUGCUUAGAUAUAACACAGAACACCAAUUGCGAAGGCAGCUUACUGGGAUACAACUGACGCUGAGGC